AGAGUUUGAUCCUGGCUCAGGACGAACGCUGGCGGCGUGCCUAAUACAUGCAAGUCGAGCGAGCUUGCCUAGAUGAUUUUAGUGCUUGCACUAAAUGAAACUAGAUACAAGCGAGCGGCGGACGGGUGAGUAACACGUGGGUAACCUGCCCAAGAGACUGGGAUAACACCUGGAAACAGAUGCUAAUACCGGAUAACAACACUAGACGCAUGUCUAGAGUUUGAAAGAUGGUUCUGCUAUCACUCUUGGAUGGACCUGCGGUGCAUUAGCUAGUUGGUAAGGUAACGGCUUACCAAGGCAAUGAUGCAUAGCCGAGUUGAGAGACUGAUCGGCCACAUUGGGACUGAGACACGGCCCAAACUCCUACGGGAGGCAGCAGUAGGGAAUCUUCCACAAUGGACGAAAGUCUGAUGGAGUAACGCCGCGUGAGUGAAGAAGGGUUUCGGCUCGUAAAGCUCUGUUGGUAGUGAAGAAAGAUAGAGGUAGUAACUGGCCUUUAUUUGACGGUAAUUACUUAGAAAGUCACGGCUAACUACGUGCCAGCAGCCGCGGUAAUACGUAGGUGGCAAGCGUUGUCCGGAUUUAUUGGGCGUAAAGCGAGUGCAGGCGGUUCAAUAAGUCUGAUGUGAAAGCCUUCGGCUCAACCGGAGAAUUGCAUCAGAAACUGUUGAACUUGAGUGCAGAAGAGGAGAGUGGAACUCCAUGUGUAGCGGUGGAAUGCGUAGAUAUAUGGAAGAACACCAGUGGCGAAGGCGGCUCUCUGGUCUGCAACUGACGCUGAGGCUCGAAAGCAUGGGUAGCGAACAGGAUUAGAUACCCUGGUAGUCCAUGCCGUAAACGAUGAGUGCUAAGUGUUGGGAGGUUUCCGCCUCUCAGUGCUGCAGCUAACGCAUUAAGCACUCCGCCUGGGGAGUA
Molecule: ribosomal RNA, 915 nt
Filed under: uncultured bacterium
Lineage: Bacteria
Description: bacterial SSU rRNA
Rfam family: Bacterial small subunit ribosomal RNA
Source: RNAcentral